This 550-nucleotide ribosomal RNA is filed under the name uncultured Ascomycota. RNAcentral's name for it is "SSU rRNA". It matches the Rfam family "Eukaryotic small subunit ribosomal RNA", at positions 539 to 1098 of the family's 1831-position model. Lineage: Eukaryota; Fungi; Ascomycota. The record is from RNAcentral.
UUCGCCCUUGGGCAAGUCUGGUGCCAGCAGCCGCGGUAAUUCCAGCUCCAAUAGCGUAUAUUAAAGUUGUUGUGGUUAAAAAGCUCGUAGUAGAAGCUCGGGCUCCGGCCGACCGGUCCGCCUCACCGCGUGCACUGGUUCGGCCGGGCCUUCACCUUCUGCGGAACCGCAUCUCCUUCACUGGGGGUGUCGGGGAAACAGGACGUUUACUGUGAAAAAAUUAGAGUGCUCCAGGCAGGCCUAUGCUCGAAUAGAUUAGCAUGGAAUAAUGGAAUAGGACGUGUGGUCUUAUUUCGUUGGUUUCUAGGACCGCCGUAAUGAUUAAUAGGGACAGUCGGGGGCAUCAGUAUUCAAUCGUCAGAGGUGAAAUUCUUGGAUCGAUUGAAGACUAACUACUGCGAAAGCAUUUGCCAAGGAUGUUUUCAUUUAUCAGGAACGAAAGUUAGGGGAUCGAAGACGAUCAGAUACCGUCGUAGUCUUAACCAUAAACUAUGCCGACUAGGGAUCGGACGGUGUUAUUUCUUGACCCGUUCGGCGCCUUACGGGAAAC